Molecule: ribosomal RNA, 1422 nt
Filed under: Escherichia coli
Lineage: Bacteria; Pseudomonadati; Pseudomonadota; Gammaproteobacteria; Enterobacterales; Enterobacteriaceae
Description: bacterial LSU rRNA
Rfam family: Bacterial large subunit ribosomal RNA
Source: RNAcentral
AAGAAAGCGUAAUAGCUCACUGGUCGAGUCGGCCUGCGCGGAAGAUGUAACGGGGCUAAACCAUGCACCGAAGCUGCGGCAGCGACGCUGAUGCGUUGUUGGGUAGGGGAGCGUUCUGUAAGCCUGUGAAGGUGUGCUGUGAGGCAUGCUGGAGGUAUCAGAAGUGCGAAUGCUGACAUAAGUAACGAUAAAGCGGGUGAAAAGCCCGCUCGCCGGAAGACCAAGGGUUCCUGUCCAACGUUAAUCGGGGCAGGGUGAGUCGACCCCUAAGGCGAGGCCGAAAGGCGUAGUCGAUGGGAAACAGGUUAAUAUUCCUGUACUUGGUGUUACUGCGAAGGGGGGACGGAGAAGGCUAUGUUGGCCGGGCGACGGUUGUCCCGGUUUAAGCGUGUAGGCUGGUUUUCCAGGCAAAUCCGGAAAAUCAAGGCUUAGGCGUGAUGACGAGGCACUACGGUGCUGAAGCAACAAAUGCCCUGCUUCCAGGAAAAGCCUCUAAGCAUCAGGUAACAUCAAAUCGUACCCCAAACCGACACAGGUGGUCAGGUAGAGAAUACCAAGGCGCUUGAGAGAACUCGGGUGAAGGAACUAGGCAAAAUGGUGCCGUAACUUCGGGAGAAGGCACGCUGAUAUGUAGGUGAAGCGACUUGCUCGUGGAGCUGAAAUCAGUCGAAGAUACCAGCUGGCUGCAACUGUUUAUUAAAAACACAGCACUGUGCAAACACGAAAGUGGACGUAUACGGUGUGACGCCUGCCCGGUGCCGGAAGGUUAAUUGAUGGGGUUAGCGCAAGCGAAGCUCUUGAUCGAAGCCCCGGUAAACGGCGGCCGUAACUAUAACGGUCCUAAGGUAGCGAAAUUCCUUGUCGGGUAAGUUCCGACCUGCACGAAUGGCGUAAUGAUGGCCAGGCUGUCUCCACCCGAGACUCAGUGAAAUUGAACUCGCUGUGAAGAUGCAGUGUACCCGCGGCAAGACGGAAAGACCCCGUGAACCUUUACUAUAGCUUGACACUGAACAUUGAGCCUUGAUGUGUAGGAUAGGUGGGAGGCUUUGAAGUGUGGACGCCAGUCUGCAUGGAGCCGACCUUGAAAUACCACCCUUUAAUGUUUGAUGUUCUAACGUUGACCCGUAAUCCGGGUUGCGGACAGUGUCUGGUGGGUAGUUUGACUGGGGCGGUCUCCUCCUAAAGAGUAACGGAGGAGCACGAAGGUUGGCUAAUCCUGGUCGGACAUCAGGAGGUUAGUGCAAUGGCAUAAGCCAGCUUGACUGCGAGCGUGACGGCGCGAGCAGGUGCGAAAGCAGGUCAUAGUGAUCCGGUGGUUCUGAAUGGAAGGGCCAUCGCUCAACGGAUAAAAGGUACUCCGGGGAUAACAGGCUGAUACCGCCCAAGAGUUCAUAUCGACGGCGGUGUUUGGCACCUCGAUGU